Molecule: long non-coding RNA, 574 nt
Organism: Bos taurus (domestic cattle)
Lineage: Eukaryota; Metazoa; Chordata; Mammalia; Artiodactyla; Bovidae
Source: Ensembl
CCAGCACUUAGGAUUGGAAGCUUAGUUGCCAACUCUACACUAGGAUGCCCCAUGGAGGCCAGGAAGUCCAGAAGAUCAACCGUGUGAAUUUGGAAGUCAACAAGGACUGUGACAGGAGCCGCUGGAGAAAGUGACAGGGAAUCAGGAGUGAACCUUCAGAAGACUCCCCCACUACUUUUCCUGCCCAGUGGCCAACAGUGGUCCCUAGAGAUGCCCCUGGGACCAUCAGCCUACUGGGACUUGGCCAACUCAAGCCUGGAUCUAGGAGGACAGAUAGUUGGCCUUGGAUAGCUGCAAAAGUCACCUCGUCAGAUGGACAGCCAGUGCGGGAAGCUCCUGUGACUCUGUGAAUGCCAGAGAAAGGAAGGAACAAGGUGCUGCUGGCGGCGAGGGUCAGAUGCGCAGGCUGCGCGGAGGUCCAAGGCCCCCGCGGGAUCCGCGGAAGGCGGAGGCUCGCCGGUUCUUCGUGAGCGCAUAAGGGCCCCUCGCGAAUUUUCCUUUCAGACUUCUCGCGGUCUCCGCUCGGCCUGAAGGUGAGCCUCGCGCCUCCGCCCUCCCGGAGAGGCCCCCUCCC